UCUCCAAGAAACACUUGAAAAGCAAGCACAUUCAAUCAAAUUUGAAAAAUGGCCAACAAGCUUGUCGCAGUGUUUCUCAUGUGCAUCGUCCUCGCCGGAGCGAUGCACAUGCGCGAGGCCGAGGCCGCCGACGAGACGUUCAAGUCGUGCUUCACCGCCUGCCACGAUGGGUGCAAGGCCGAGGGCCACGGCUUCACCUUCUGCGAGGUCAAGUGCGACACCGAGUGCAGCGAAAAGGAAAUCGCGGCGAAACUAAAUUUGCAUUUAUAAGCGGCCUAGACUUGUGCAAGUCCUUCAAGGGGGAACAACAAGGGAGAGUAGUGAUGUAAUAAAUCAGAGGAUUUGAAUUUUCAUUCUUCUGAUUCCAUCACCAUCAUGCUCUUGAAGAACUUCUAAUAAA
Molecule: long non-coding RNA, 400 nt
Organism: Rhodamnia argentea
Lineage: Eukaryota; Viridiplantae; Streptophyta; Magnoliopsida; Myrtales; Myrtaceae
Exons: 2
Source: RefSeq, a predicted model, not a curated record